Acyrthosiphon pisum (pea aphid) is the source of this 1326-nucleotide long non-coding RNA. RefSeq lists it as uncharacterized. Lineage: Eukaryota; Metazoa; Arthropoda; Insecta; Hemiptera; Aphididae. The record is from RefSeq and is a predicted model, not a curated record. The transcript is spliced from 6 exons.
UUAUUGUUCAAAUUAUUAUUAUUAGUGUGGUUGUAGCGCGUGCUAAAUUGUACACGGCGUUUAUAUUAAUUAUUAUUGUGUAAAAUAUAUAAAUAUCGCGUCAUUACGCAUUAACCUAAUCAAUAAGACUUGUACGAGGUAAUAAAUUGUCAGUUCGCCCUUUCCCAUCCACAGCACCCCGCAAGUCGUUGCCGCAAACCGCAAGUCACACAAGUAGGUGCGGCGCGGCGCAACAGUGAUCAAAAUAAAAAGGCUUAAUAAGCAACUAAAAAACUCGCUGUUCACAUAAGAAGCAGACGUUCAUUAACAAUUUGUUUUUAUUUAUUGUUAUUUGUUAUGGUAAAAAAAUGAUUUAUCACUAUCACAAUACUUUUUUCAUGGAGUAAAUAGUUUUUUUUCCAUGAGAAAACCUCUUUAGAGUCUUUCUCACUCGCACAUAUGUUGGCUCCUAUAAUUUCUACAUGGAAAAUGUGUUGUUCGCGGUAUAUUCUAUUAUAUGUCUAUGGUUUGUGCAUAAUUGCAUUUAUUGUUCUUUGUUCGAGAUAAAAUACAAUUUAUGGUUAUCGCCACAACUUUUUAGACUUUCACCGUCCAGCUACCGAGUGCCGGAGUGUCUACGGUCUUUCGAUCGUUGGACAUUUUGAACAUUCAAGAUUCCCAUAUCUUCGUUCCAUCAGUAAAUUGUCGCAGCCAUCCGAGUACGAUUUACAAUAUUUCCACCACCAAAAUACCAGAUCACGUUUAUGCGUUUCGUGGGCGUACGCAAGCGGUGUGCAACAGAUCCUGUUGCAGUGGUAGUACUAUUAAUUAUACUUAUUAGUUAUUAACAUUGAUUAUAAAUACAAGUACCUAUUUAAAAUCAAUGCUAUUACCUAUAAGCCAAGUCGCGGGACACAAACUAUAGCCACAAUAGAUUUUACAACAGUAUAUGACUGUACACAUAGAUGCACAUGAAAAUAAUAUAACUAUCUAUAAGAUACAGAAAAGAUUUCAUGGAUUGAAAAUUGGAACACACUUCAAUAGCAAUUUAAGGAAAUCAAAGUAUAAUAUAUUAUUAUGCAAGUAGCAGUGGGCACACGAGCACGAGGCCUACCUAAAAUAUUGAAAUAAAUAAAUAAAUAUAUUUCAAAAUCAGACUAUAAAAAUAUCCGCUGCUGAAAGUAAAAUUAUACUUCAUAUUACUAGUGAUCAACAUUAUAGAUGAACAAUAUGGAACAUUUAAAUUCAAAAAACAAGAAUAUUCAUGUAUUCAAUAAAAUAUUAAAAGUAUCACUUGUAAAUUGUGAUCAUCUAUUGAAAUUUCAUAACCAAAAAUUAAUCAGAAAA